RNAcentral lists this ribosomal RNA (207 nucleotides) under uncultured bacterium. RNAcentral's name for it is "partial 16S ribosomal RNA". It matches the Rfam family "Bacterial small subunit ribosomal RNA", at positions 568 to 774 of the family's 1533-position model. The record is from RNAcentral.
CGCGUAGGCGGUUCGGUAAGUUGCUGGUGAAAUCCCGGGGCUCAACUCCGGGGCUGCCGGCACGACUGCCGGACUUGAGCACGGUAGGGGCAGAUGGAAUUCCCGGUGUAGCGGUGGAAUGCGUAGAGAUCGGGAAGAAUACCAGUGGCGAAGGCGAGUCUCUGGGCUGAUACCGACGCUGAAGCGCGAAAGCCAGGGGAGCAAACG